UCCUGCUACUACAAAAACCCCACCUCACACGGCAUUCAGAUACUGAAACUACUCCAUCAACCCUCUUUAUCUUCUUAGCCUUAUGGGAUUGCAUGCAUGAAAGGAAUCCAAAACCUGUUUGCUCAUGAUCAUCUAGUAUUACAGCAGAGUAAAUAUCAAAACUAUGCGGGAAAAAUCAGGCACAUUUGACAAGCUGGAGUCCGCUGUGAAAAGCAUUUCACAUGCAUCAACUGAUUCACGGAGUUAUUUGAGUGGUUUUGAAAAUAACAGUAGUGUCUCCACAGAAGUAUUAGUGUUUGGUAAUAGCAGAUCAAGUCUAACCUUGCCAAGCCAACAAAAUGCUGGACUGGUGACAACAUCUAAUGAAUUAGAAGCAAAGUUUUUGGAGAAAAGUGGAGGUGAAAUAUACAGAGAAGUGGAAACUGCAAAGUUCCUAGAAUCAGACCAAAAUAGUGCACAAGAACUUCUCAAAUUCUCAAGUAUAGCUUCUCCGACGAUGAGCGAACAUCUAAUACCAGUUACUCAACUGAAACUUG
This is a long non-coding RNA of Coffea eugenioides, 536 nucleotides long. RefSeq lists it as uncharacterized. Lineage: Eukaryota; Viridiplantae; Streptophyta; Magnoliopsida; Gentianales; Rubiaceae. The transcript is spliced from 3 exons. The record is from RefSeq and is a predicted model, not a curated record.